This 402-nucleotide ribosomal RNA is filed under the name uncultured bacterium. RNAcentral's name for it is "bacterial SSU rRNA". It matches the Rfam family "Bacterial small subunit ribosomal RNA", at positions 355 to 771 of the family's 1533-position model. The record is from RNAcentral.
UGAGGGAUAUUGCGCAAUGGGGGAAACCCUGACGCAGCGACGCCGCGUGGGCGAAGACGGUCUUCGGAUUGUAAAGCCCUUUUCUGCGUGACGAGGAAGGACGGUAGCGCAGGAAGAAGUCUCGGCUAACUACGUGCCAGCAGCCGCGGUAAAACCGUAGGAGGCAAGCGUUAUCCGGAGUUACUGGGCGUAAAGCGCGCGCAGGCGGUGCGUUAAGUGUAUUGUCAAAGACACAGGCUCAACCUGGGGCAGGCAACACAGACUGACGGACUGGAGGCAGCUAGAGGGACGUGGAAUUCGGGGUGUAGCGGUGAAAUGUGUAGGGAUCCCGAGGAACACCGAGCGGUGAAGACGGCGUCCUGGGGCUGACCUGACGCUGAGGCGCGAAGGCGUGGGGAGCGA